Molecule: ribosomal RNA, 487 nt
Filed under: uncultured Bacteroidota bacterium
Lineage: Bacteria; Pseudomonadati; Bacteroidota
Description: bacterial SSU rRNA
Rfam family: Bacterial small subunit ribosomal RNA
Source: RNAcentral
GCUUGCUUUUUGCUGACGAGUGGCGAACGGGUGCGUAACGCGUAUGCAACCUACCUUCUUCUAAGGAAUAGCCCAGAGAAAUUUGGAUUAACACCUUAUGACAAUAUUUAUUCGCAUGUUUAAAUAUUUAAAACUCCGGUGGAAGAAGAUGGGCAUGCGUAACAUUAGUUUGUUGGUGAGGUAAUGGCUCACCAAGACUACGAUGUUUAGGGGGUCUGAGAGGAUGAUCCCCCACACUGGUACUGAGACACGGACCAGACUCCUACGGGAGGCAGCAGUGAGGAAUAUUGGUCAAUGGACGAAAGUCUGAACCAGCCAUGCCGCGUGAAGGAUGACGGCCCUACGGGUUGUAAACUUCUUUUGUAUAGGAAGAAACCCCUCUACGUGUAGAGGGUUGACGGUACUAUUCGAAUAAGCACCGGCUAACUCCGUGCCAGCAGCCGCGGUAAUACGGAGGGUGCGAGCGUUAUCCGGAAUUAUUGGGUUU